CUCUUCCUCAUUUAUCCUCCUCCUCAUUUAUCCUCCUCUUCCUCAUUUAUCCUCCUCCUCCUCCUCCAUUUUGAUGUUGUAUCUUGAUGACAUAUUUAUCAGUAUCAUUUCUUCUGUGUCUUGUGAGAAAUGUGGGGUGUGUGUGUGCGCACGCGUGUGUGUGUGUGCGGCUGUGUAGUGUGUUAUAGCUGUAUAGAGCUGUGUAGUGUGUUAUAGCUCUGUGUAGUGUGUUAUAGCUGUAUAGAGUUGUGUAGUGUGUUAUAGCUGUAUAGAGCUGUGUAGUGUGUUAUAAAGUUGUGUAGUGUGUUAUAGCUGUAUAGAGCUGUGUAGUGUGUUAUAGAGCUGUGUAGUGUGUUAUAGAGCUGUGUAGCUGUGUAGUGUGUUAUAGCUGUAUAGAGCUGUGUAGUGUGUUAUAGCUGUAUAGAGCUGUGUAGUGUGUUAUAGCUGUAUAGAGCUGUGUAGUGUGUUAUAGGCUGUGUAGUCUGUAUAGAGCUGUGUAGUCUGUUAUAGAGCUGUGUAGUGUGUUAUAGAGCUGUGUAGUCUGUUAUAGAGCUGUGUAGUGUGUUAUAGCUGUAUAGAGCUGUGUAGUGUGUUAUAGCUGUAUAGAGCUGUGUAGUGUGUUAUAGCUGUAUAGAGCUGUGUAGUGUGUUAUAGCUGUAUAGAGCUGUGUAGUGUGUUAUAGCUGUAUAGAGCUGUGUAGUGUGUUAUAGCUGUAUAGAACUGUGUUGUGUGUUAUAGCUGUAUAGAGCUGUGUAGUGUGUGGUAGUCCAGUCACAGUGUGUGUUCUGCUCUGCUCUGCUACACCAAGUGUCCUGUCUGUCCUGUC
RNAcentral lists this long non-coding RNA (826 nucleotides) under Salmo salar (Atlantic salmon). RNAcentral's name for it is "lncRNA (ENSSSAG00000084582.1)". Lineage: Eukaryota; Metazoa; Chordata; Actinopteri; Salmoniformes; Salmonidae. The record is from RNAcentral.